UCUGAAGAUAAAUAAUGAGACAGAUUUGACAGAACUUGCCAGAUGAGAACAUUCUCUUUUACAAAGUGAACAUUAGAACUUGAGCUCUUGUCAGUAACACUACUUGUUGAUUCCCACCACAUGAGAAUGUAUAGUGUUGAGGAAACUCUGUGGCUGGGAAGUUAGAUAAUAGUUCAGGGUGGGGCUUGCCCACGUCUAUUUGUAUUUGCAGGCACUGAAGUAAAGUAUAAUACUGUCUUGUGGAAGAAACAGAAGAGUUACAAUAUGGGGACAAAACCCUUUUACUUUCUGAUAUUGGGAAUCCUCCUAGCAUAUUAUAUUUAUACACCGCUCCCAGAUAAUGUUGAAGAAUGAUGGAAAAUAAUGCUCUUUUAAAAACCGCAUCAUAUUUGCUCUUCAGAGACUCAGAUGUCAAGAUCAAAAUCAAGAUCCAGGCUUUAAUAUAUCCUGCCGUUCAGAGUUUUGAUAUGGAUUUACCAUCACAUCGAGAAAAUUCAAUUAUCCAUUUUUACCCAGAUCACUCUUGUUCAGGCUCAGGAGCGAAUAUUUUACUACAGAUAGAUCACUCAAGAAAGCAGUGUUUUUCAACCAACACAUACCUCUAGAAUCAAGUCAUCAGUUCAAGUUUGGUAAUUGAGGUUCCUUGCUCCCUGAGAUGUUUAAGAAAGGCCACAUUUAUAAGAAUCCAACUCAUGGUAGUUCAGAGCUGGCUAAAAAAUAUCCAGGGUUCCUAGACAUGAGAGCUUCACCUUUGCUGGCUGAUGACAAUACAUUACAUGGUUUACCCCUGACCUAUGUCAUCACUUGUUAAUAUGACGUCUUAAGAGAUGAUGGACUCAUGUAUGUUAGUAGGCUUCAGAAUGCUGGAGUUCAGGUGGUCCAUACUCACACAGAGGGUGCAUUCCAUGGAAUAUUUUCUCUUCUGCCAAUUAAAAUGCGUUAUAGAACAACCAAUCAAUAUAUUAGUUGGCUACAUGAAAACCUGUAGUAUAAUAAAAUCGAAUCAAUUUAGAAAAACACAAGCUCCAAUACUUCAGGAAAAAGAAUAAAGACCCAAUGGAUUGAUUAGGAAUACACAUUUUAUUUACAAGUCUCCCUAAAUCUGCAUAUACAUAGUAGUUGUUAUUAUCAGUGGAUGAUUUUUAUACAUUAGUCUGAGAGUAAUUCACUCUCUUUUGUUCCUUAGAGUACACUAGAUUUUAUGUUUCUGUUACUGUUAUCUUAAAAUCUCUCAUUUUGUUCCAUCCCUUUUUUUCUAACUUGAUAAAUUUUACCAUAGUCAAAAGAAAUGUCUGCUGUUUAAUACCAAAGCUUCCCUCAGAAUGGCGUUAGGUCCAUGGAGAAGCCUCAUUUACCACUGGUAUGAAUGAAGUUGUCACGCUUUCUAAAUGUAUUUGUACCAGUUUGAUGUCACUUGUUUACCAUUGUAAAAUACAUUUCUUAAUGCACUACCCAAUUCCUUAGUCCAGGACACCAAAAUUUAAACAAUUAUAUAUUAAAGGUAUCAGUGAAUCUCUUAAUUCUUUGAUGAGAGAAUAGUUGACAGACUUUCUGAAAUAUUAGGAACUCAAUAAUUUGAAAAAAGUCUUUCAAAAGUCUUUCAUUGAAUCCAUCCAUGAUUGGUGUUUGUCAGUUAUUCAUUCUCUUCUUACUUCAAAGGACAUGAUGCUACAACAGAAAAACUUAGCAUAUAAAGCCAGUGCCAAUGUUAGUCAGAGUUUAACAUUCUGAAAACAUUUGCUGAACUGAGUCAGCAUAUUACGUGUGAUACUUUCACAUAAACAGGCACAAUCAUUGCCAAAUAAAUAAAUGGAUAUGGAUUAGACAAGAACAGAGGUCCAGAGGCACAAUUCAUAUAACUGUUCUUACGUAUAUUUUGUUACAUUUGUUCCUGAGUGUUUCAUGCUUGAAGCUGUUGCAAAUCGUAAUACUUAUUUUUGUAAUUUUCAUUUUUUGAAUGUUCAUCUCUAAAAUACAUUAUAGAAGUAUAAUUUGUUUUACGUAUUGAUGAUGUAUCCUGAGACCUUGCUUAAUACACUUAUUAGUUCUUAUAGCUCUAUAGAGGAUGAUUUAUAAUUUUCUACAUAGAGAGUCAUGUCAUCUGUAAAUAAAAAAAGAGUUUUUAUAAUUCCUCUUCAAUCUGCAUGCAUUUUACAUCUCUUUCUUGCCUGUAGGACCUCCAGUAUAAGUUGGGGGUAAAACAAAAUUGGUGAUAUCCUUUAUUUUAAAUGGAUAUCCUUUGUUUUUUCCAAUGUUACUGGAAAGUAUUCAGUUUUUAACACUUUGAUCUUGUUAGGUCUGGUUGUUUUAUAGAGGCUAUUUACCAAACUGUAUAAAUGCUUUUCUAUCUCUACUUUGCUUAGUGACUUCCAGACAAGGAGAAUGAUUGUUGAAUUUUGUCUAAUGUGGUUGUUACAUAUAUUGAGAUAACCAUAUGCUUUUACCCCCCAUUAUUCUGUUUAUCUGGUUGAUUAAUCAUAAAAAGUUAAUCAAAUUUUGCACUCCCGAGAUAAACUUCACAAUGUCAUGCAAUACUUUGUAUAUAUUAUUUUUCUAUAAUAGUAAUUUGCUAAUAUUUUGUUCAAGAUUUUUAUCUAAGUCCAUGAGGAACAUUGAUCUGUAUUUCCCAUUUCUUGUUACGCCCAUUCUGGUUAAAGCUGGUCUCUUAACAUGAGUGGGAAUGCUAUUUUGUGAGAAAGUUUGUAUAGGAUUGGUAGCAUUUCUUUCUUAUCAAAACCAUCUGGGAGUACAAUUUUCUCUGUGAAAGAUUUUUAAUUAUAAAUUCAAUUUCUGUAAUAGGUGGAGGGCUAUAACACGUAACUUUUUAAAUUCCAGUUUCAGUACUUCAUGUCUUUAAAAAAGAUUAUCUACUUACGUAGCAAUAGACCAUUUCUAAAAUAGCUCCCACCUCCCACUAUUCACACAAGUGUGUAAUCUCCUUUCUUUAAGUAAGCUGGGCUUAGUGUUUUCUCCUGUAGGUAUAGAAUACAGGAAAAGUGAGGGGACGUCACUUCCAAAAUAGGUUAUAAAAGAUUGUGAGUUCUUUCCUCUCUCUCUCUCUCUCUCUCUCUCUCUCUCUCUCUCUCUCUCUCUCUCUCUCUCUCUCUCUCUCUCUUCCUUUCUCUCUCCCUCACUCCCUCCCUCUGCUCACUCUAAUGAAUCAAGCUGUCAUGUUGUAAACUGCCCUAUGGAGAGACCUCUAGGGUAAGUCUCUGAGGGCAGACUUCUUUCAACAACCAGUAGGAAUCUAAGGCUCUUGAAAGUGGAUCCUUCUCCAGUUGAAAUUGUAGAUGUGUCCGACACCAAGAUUAUUUUGUGAAACACUCUCAAACACAGGACCCAGCUAAGCUGUGCUGAAUUUCUGAUGCACAAAAACUGUAAGAUAAUAAAAGUUCUUUUAACUCACAGAUGUUUGAGGUCAUUUGCUACAUAGCAAUAAGAUAUCUAAUAACACUUCAUCUAAGCUCUCGGGUUGACUGAAAUAGGCUAUUUCAAAAGCUUUAAUAACAAGUUUGACUUAACUAAAAUGUGGAGAAUUUUAGAUAAACCAAUGAAAAAAGUCUUUGUUGUCUUUUUUUUUUUAAGCAUUAAGGAGCAAAUUUUUCUAUUACCUAAUGGCAUUCUUAGGAAACCCAAAAUACACCUUGAUAAUUUUAUUAUUCUGAAUUUAGAAACUGUAUUUGGGAAAUACACAAUCAAGAAUAGUUAGUUGUUAGAGUUAGUAGAUACAAUAUAGUCAUGGGGAUAUGAAAUACAGAAUGGGGAAUAUAAUCAACAAUGUUGUAAAGAUUAUGUAAGGUGCCAGAUGGGCACUGGACUUUUUAAGUGGAUCACUUCAUACACUGUGUAGAUACCUGACCAAUGCACCGUACAACUGUAGCUGAAGUAGAAUUACAUUGUAUGUCAAUGACAAGAAUAUGUAGCAUAAGGAAAAUAGUAAAUGUUAUUGUAAUAGUUAUAGAAGAUGUUAGAGGGUAGGUGUUUGGUUGCUU
Molecule: long non-coding RNA, 3992 nt
Organism: Rhinolophus ferrumequinum (greater horseshoe bat)
Lineage: Eukaryota; Metazoa; Chordata; Mammalia; Chiroptera; Rhinolophidae
Source: Ensembl